This 376-nucleotide ribosomal RNA is filed under the name uncultured Gammaproteobacteria bacterium. RNAcentral's name for it is "bacterial SSU rRNA". It matches the Rfam family "Bacterial small subunit ribosomal RNA", at positions 521 to 896 of the family's 1533-position model. Lineage: Bacteria; Pseudomonadati; Pseudomonadota; Gammaproteobacteria. The record is from RNAcentral.
UAAUACGAGGGGUGCAAGCGUUAAUCGGAAUUACUGGGCGUAAAGCGUGCGUAGGUGGUUUGUUAAGCAAGAUGUGAAAGCCCCGGGCUCAACCUGGGAACUGCAUUUUGAACUGGCAGACUAGAGUAUUGUAGAGGGUAGUGGAAUUUCCAGUGUAGCGGUGAAAUGCGUAGAGAUUGGAAGGAACAUCAGUGGCGAAGGCGGCUACCUGGACAAAUACUGACACUGAGGCACGAAAGCGUGGGGAGCAAACAGGAUUAGAUACCCUGGUAGUCCACGCCGUAAACGAUGUCAACUAGCCGUCCGUGGUCUUGAACCGUGGGUGGCGUAGCUAACGCGCUAAGUUGACCGCCUGGGGAGUACGGCCGCAAGGUUA